RNAcentral lists this ribosomal RNA (251 nucleotides) under uncultured bacterium. RNAcentral's name for it is "partial 16S ribosomal RNA". It matches the Rfam family "Bacterial small subunit ribosomal RNA", at positions 524 to 776 of the family's 1533-position model. The record is from RNAcentral.
UACGUAGGUCCCGAGCGUUGUCCGGAUUUAUUGGGCGUAAAGCGAGCGCAGGUGGUUUAUUAAGUCUGGUGUAAAAGGCAGUGGCUCAACCAUUGUAUGCAUUGGAAACUGGUAGACUUGAGUGCAGGAGAGGAGAGUGGAUUCCAUGUGUAGCGGUGAAAUGCGUAGAUAUAUGGAGGAACACCAGUGGCGAAGGCGGCCUGCUGGACGAUGACUGACGCUGAGGCUCGAAAGCGUGGGGAGCAAACAGG